Molecule: long non-coding RNA, 1079 nt
Organism: Anguilla rostrata (American eel)
Lineage: Eukaryota; Metazoa; Chordata; Actinopteri; Anguilliformes; Anguillidae
Exons: 2
Source: RefSeq, a predicted model, not a curated record
UAACGAUCAAAAAUUACGUUUUACAAUACGUUGCAUUUGAUGAAUCAUGUAUUAGCUAGUCGAUUGCUUGCCUAACUGACCAAGCUUUCGUGGCUAUCAUAUUUGUAACAAUUUGCACAUCUUGCUCAUGUUGCAAAAAUGCAGCCCGAUCUCUUAUCGUUAGCUAGCUGUUUGUCAUAGUAGCUAUCUUGCCAUUGUGUUACCUUAUUUGUUGGUAAAUUGUUACAUUGGCUUCGUUAUCGUUUCAGAUUUCGUAACUGCACAAAAAAGACCACAAGUCAUGGGUUAAACACAUAGAUAAAACACUGGCAAAUGAACACACAUUAAUAACGACCCACCGGGGGAAAUGCAGUAUUACGACUUCCACUACUGACGUGACAGUAACAGCCAGCUAGCUUGCUGGGGCGAAAAAUGGACGAUUCUUUUCAAAUGGAAAUGUAGCCGUCUUUAUUUGUAGCCAGCUAACAUUGCAAACUACCUGGUGGAAAAUACCGAUGAAAGGAGACACCCUUGAUCGGUUUUCUCUCAAUAUAUUUUCCCUUCCAUCGCCUGUUCCCUCAACAAUUACCAAUGUAUUUAACAUAUGAUUUAAUAGCGUUCUCCCUAAAGCGAACCGCCACAUAGCACGAUAUUCUUAUGUCAUAAAAACGGAAUUCCAUUCCUUUCAAUACAAAUAUAACGACUAUACAGGACUGCACACAUAUGGAGCAGACAAGACGUCUCGGUCUCCCUGCCCAGCCAGCAGCAAGUCCGACUGUUCUUUGCAAGAACACAAUGAUGAAAACCACUUUUUAAAAUCACUACCAGUAGCUCCGCGAGCCAGGGCGCUUCAGUGACGUAAGGAUCACGGUGCGCGUUCACGCCACAAACCCCCACCACCGCCACGCAAGAGUCGCCCGGUUCCUGAAGCCCAUACGGACGCCAUACUGAGAAGGUCCAUUCUCCCACAGCAAAAUAACGGAAAUCGGGAUGAAUCGCCUGCUCUAAAUAUCCUUUGCCACCUUCGUCUAUUUCCUUCAUCUUCUUUGAAAUUAACCGCAAACUAUCCUGCUACUAUUAAACAUGGGUAGCGAAUUAUA